This 447-nucleotide ribosomal RNA is filed under the name uncultured bacterium. Its description in RNAcentral is "bacterial SSU rRNA". It matches the Rfam family "Bacterial small subunit ribosomal RNA", at positions 355 to 825 of the family's 1533-position model. The record is from RNAcentral.
UGGGGAAUAUUGGACAAUGGGCGCAAGCCUGAUCCAGCCAUGCCGCGUGGAUGAAGAAGGCCCUAGGGUUGUAAAGUCCUUUCGGUGGUGAAGAUAAUGACGGUAACCACAGAAGAAGCCCCGGCUAAUUUCGUGCCAGCAGCCGCGGUAAUACGAAAGGGGCUAGCGUUGUUCGGAAUUACUGGGCGUAAAGCGCACGUAGGCGGCCUUGUAAGAUGGGGGUGAAAUCCCUGGGCUCAACCCAGGAACUGCCUUCAUGACUGCAAAGCUCGAGGAUGUGAGAGGUUGGCGGAAUUCCGAGUGUAGAGGUGAAAUUCGUAGAUAUUCGGAAGAACACCAGUGGCGAAGGCGGCCAACUGGCACAUUUCUGACGCUGAGGUGUGAAAGCGUGGGGAGCAAACAGGAUUAGAUACCCUCGUAGUCCCUGAGCGGGCUGGCAAGGCGCAU